GACCUGUGUCGGCAUGGUUUGGAACGUGUGUGGCAAGUGAGUUAGCUGUUGUCUUGAGCGUGGCUGGCAUUGCGGUGCUAUGCAGAGCUGUGCACGAAACGCCUCCAAUCUGGAUCUGCAGCCCGUGCUCGAUUACACGCCAGCUAUGUUCAUACACAACCAACACGCCGAUGCACGCGCACGCUACUUACACGACCGCGCGGCGCACGUCCAUGUAGUUGGGGCGAGCGGCGGUGAGCGCGGUGCGCAGGCGGGUGAUGCGGUCAGCGGGCACACCGCGCGCGACCAGGAAGGGCUCCAGGUAGGUCCAGUGCACGGAGAUGUAGGCCUGCAGGCGUAUACAAGGGCGCAACGGCACGUAAGGAUGGCCCCAAGCACGAUAGCUGUCCUAACUGUCUGCGCCUACAGUAGUCACCCACUGUCCCUAGAUUGAACCCUUCCUCAUCAGAUUUCUGUCCACUCCUGUCCGUGCAUGAACACAUGCCCAGGCGCACCUUGGCCUCCUCAAGGUCGGCGUCGGGGCGGCGGCACGCGACGGCGGCCUGGGCCUUGUAGGAGGAGUGCAGCACGCCCUGCAGGCCCAGCAGCACCAGCUCGCGCAUCAGGUCAACGCGGGAGGCGUUGUAGACGGCGGAGCUCAGGGUGCCUGUGUUACAGAGCACAAGGAAAACAAAGCGCACACACAGUGUAUGCGAUCAGGGUGCCUGUGUGUGUGUGUGUGUGUGUGUGUGUGUGUGUGUGUGUGUGUGUGUGCGUGUGACGUGCUUGAAAAAACGCAACACGCACGAGCGAACAUGACGUUGUAGAGCCUGGGUGCGUAUGUGCCGACGUGUCUUGUCACGGAAUGCCAAACGAGGGCGGGCGCCGAGCCGGGCGGGCUGCAGGCACGCCGGCAUAAGCAUGGGGUCCUACCCGUGUGCCGCCUUCCGACUGGCGAGCCGAGCCCACAGACAAGCCUGUGACCCAAACAAUGCAACCUAUUUAUCUGAGACCCAGCGGCGCUCACCGUUGUCCUUGCGGCCGCUCAUGAGCAGCUCAUUAAAGGUGAUGGUGGCAGCCGCGUUCACGUAGCUCUGGCCCAGAAAGGUGGUGCCCAUGUCCGCGCCCAGAGCAGCGGCCCAGGCGGCAGCGGAGCCGCAGUGGUCGUCGCGGCCGCCAGUCCACAGCGCCCAGGCCUCAUCCACGCUGUGCGAAGCACCUGUCACGUAUGCCAGGUACGACGUGGGUAGCGAGCAUGCGAGAGCGCGUUGAAGCUCUGAACCCCAACGGCCUUCCCCCACUUGUGGCGAAGCUUUGCGCCCGGUGCUAGACUGCGCACGGUACUUCCCACGUCCCCACUACCUAGGUUUUGCAGCAGUCCGCAGCACGGCAGCGAUAUUUCGCCAAUCGCACCAUGCAAUGCAUUACAUGCACUCACCAUCGGCGUCGCCCACCAGGUUGGUCAGGGUGUUGUCCGCCAGGUACUGCACAAUCUUGGUGGCGCCCUCAUCCACCUCGUGCAGGCCGUACUUGACGCCGGCAACCUACACAGGACAAGAGGACAAGGUGGGGACAAGGUUUGGGCGUGGCGACGGCACGCAUGCUGAGGUGUGCUACUGAGCGUGCAUGACUUUUGGCGUGCUACCCACGGUAUGCUCUUGCGUGGCAUUUAUGCUCAACCCGCUGCGCCAUCGAUGCUUCCCUGCACUGGGCCCAACCUGCCCACAGUUUGAACACCAUAGGCAACGCACCAGAAUGAGGCCCUCGACCAGGGGGCGGUUCUGCUCCGCAAAGGCGGUCCUGCGCAAUGCCGGCCCCAGAAUCUCAGCUAGCGUGGAGCACCAGUGCACCACUGUGCGCACGGGCACCAAUCAGUGAGCUGUUGGCCCAUAGAGCAGCAGCCGCAACCGUCGGCCAGCCAGGUUCUACCCCAGCAACGAAAAUUUCACACCCAGUCCGCACAGCCAGUCCAUCCCCAGGGCGUCAUCCCUAAUGUCAUACUUUCAUGCUGCAACUAUCUAACCCAACAACGACACACCUGUGUCGUCCCUACUUCUUACCUGAUGGCGACAUCCAGCCAGGUGCGGUUGCGGCCCAUGGCGAGGGAGUCGUGCAGCAGCUCGGGGCCCGAGGUCGCGUAGCUGGCGAAGCCCUGCACAGCGGGAGACCGUGUUACAAGGAAGAGCUUAAGCCGUCAGCACAUCAGAACCGGAUUAGCCCACAUGCCCCGACAAAGCCCGUAGGUCAGCCUAGGCCUCUGGAACUCCAAAUGCAACCCUAAAACCCUCUGGCGCUGCAGAAGGGGGCGUUGUCAACAUCAGGAGCUACCGUGAUGCGGCUGCACUUCCUUUGCGCCCCCCCCCCCCGUUACGAAAGUUGGCUCACCGAGAAGCUGCGGCGGGACAGGCCCGAGAUGGAGUUCUUGCCGCUCGAGUAGAGUGUCAGGGCCUCAGCCCAGUUGCCGGCGGCCAGGGCGGCCUGGGGUAGCAGACGACAGGGGCAGGUAAGGUUGGGGGAGGGGCAGCGCGAGCAGACGAAAGGAUUGCUUCCUCGAGAGUUGGCCCGCUGGCGCUCCGUGUAUCCUGCGACAGCCCUGACAGCAAGCGCAUCCCAGCCCACCUUAAUCUCGCAGUAGUCAGUGGUCAUGUUGACAUAACCCUGCAAAGCACCACCAACACGCGCAGAGGAAGGCACGCGUGGUUUGAGUCGGGCAUGCGCAACAUGGCUGCUGGGCUCGGGUAAACGUGCCGGCACGGCGGCUCAAGCUCACAUAGACGUUUGAAGAGUACGAGAGGCCCUUGUAACGCGUGCCAAGGGUGGAAGGCUGGGCCAGCGCGCAGACGCCCAGGAGGGCGACCGCCGCGAGGACAAUUGCGAUGCUGGGGGAGCGAGACAUGUUUACGCUUGGGGGCGCAGCGCUAACGACUAUAUUCUGUGAUAAAUUUGUGGCGGAACAGCCCGAUUAUAUACUCGCAAUGGUCAGUGCGCCAUGGGCCCCGCCGCGUGCCGCAUGCAUGGGGUCGCCGUUUGGCACGCGCAAAUUUCCUCAUACCCGCUCGCCUCGUCUGACGCGUGCGACCAGGGCACUCGUGGCGCCAUGAAAAGCGAGCAAAUAUAGUAAAUUCUUCCAACCGGCGUGACCAGGGGAAACUGGCGCGUGUGUGGGAGGAGUGAAGUCAGACCGGCGCGAAAUUCCAAUUUGUUUCUGGCUCAAUUUCAGACCCUGUCGCGUUGAACCAUGCGCUGACGUAUGUCCAACAAGUGUGCUGCACACGCGAGACCUAUGAUCGGGAUGCCGGGUUACCUUGAAUGUGUGUCGAUGCGCGUGCCGAAGUGAAGCGGCGGCCUAGUGGCCCGCCCAGGCGCAGUCGGUUUGGGGCUACAUGGCUUCCAGGAGAAGUUGGAUAGGUUACAAAACCAUUACGGCAAAGGAACAGGGGAUACGUAGCAGAGCCCCCGUCGUGGAGCCCUUCCCGUUCCCGCCGGCUCCCCGUUCCCGCCGUGCCUUGCUGGCCCUAGCUGGCCUGGUCCCUCACAUAGCCUGAGCCCCAACUGAGCCCCCAAGCCCCUUCUUACGGGUAGUUGCAGGAUAUGCUUGCAGCCUUAGGACGUUCUUACAUUGAGCCGCCACAGUCACAAUUCACAAACCUAUGGCACUAGUCCUCCAAACGAGGAAACGAAACCUUCAGGCCGCAUGCCCCAAAACCUGCCGCUCCCCCCCUCCGGAUUGACGACCGACCCCCCACACCAUUAACACCCUAAAAGUGCCUCAAAACCCCCUUGAUUCAUAGCCAGGUUGUUGUCAAUCGACUGCUCUCGGCGAGCACUACAGGUGCGAGCACUCCAGUGCAGCUGGAGGCACAUCUUGACCAAGAUCCUGCUGACUGGCAGCCACGUGCCCACGUCCCACGUCCCACGUGUCCGUGUGUCCAUGGCCGGCCCUACCGGUAUUGUAGGACUACCGGGGCGUGACGCGGUCGCCAGCUUCCAAGGCCGGCAGCAGCCUUGUCAUCCAGACCCACGCCAAGCCUUGGCCGUUGCGGAUUAUUAGCGUGAGUUCACAUAGCCUCUGCGACGUCAGUGAGAGACGCUCGACACGUGUACAUGCAUGUGUAUGUUUAUUAAUUUCCCAGUGGGGUGGGGCACCUCGUGCGGGCACCUCGGGCCUUCGCUCACGUUUCCCCACUUCCGCACGGACACUGCUAAGCCCAACGGAGUGCAGGAAACCGAAACGAACGCUGAAUGCGGCCGGCACGCAGCCGCAUACAAAACGUGUCAAGAUCCGUGUUAACUUGUGAUCCUGCGUCGCAUGGAACCGUAUUACAUUACAGCUCCUCUCCUCCCGCCUUUGUGCAUAUGAGCUGAUCACAGGCUGAAGCGGCAGGCACUGGGUGGCGUUACCACUGACCUCACGUGCCGCAAACAAACACAACCCGUCAACCCGGGGUCAUAGAAAGAACCUUACCCCCACAUUGGCCAUUUAAUUUCAUCAUGACCCGCAUUGAUGAGCAUUGCGUCCGUCCUCAUAGCAAUCACGCAUAGCUGCGUUGCAGUCACUGGAAGGCGGCAACGUGGCAUUACCCACCUUCUCCAUCCACAACUGAUAUGUACACGCAAACAGUGCUCAUGACCGCUUCCCGAAAGGUCCGAACGAUUCCUAUUGCCUGAGUUGCCCUAUCUAACUAGUCCGUGUCUAGUCCCAAUCUUCCAGCACAAUGCCAUCAUGUUCCCAAUUACGCAAUGCUGCGCAGGGUCUUGGAGCUGCACUUCCAGUUGGCGGCAAUGAUGGCGGACUGCGGGGCACCCAGCUCGCUGGAGCGGCGGCCCAUAGCCGACAGCACGCCCUUCACCGCGGCGGCCACCUUCUUGUAGCUCAGCUUGGAGGCGGUGAGCUGGUGGUGCAGCUCGGUCACGGCGGAGGCCUUGAAGUUGCGCAGCUUGAGCAUAGGCUCCAGGUACGCCCAGUGCACGGCGAUCAUGGUCUGUGGCAAGUAAGCAGUGAUUUGAAGUGUACAAGGGGUCAAGGAAAUGAAGAUGGAUGCUGAGUGAGGGGUAGGUGUGCUGGGGAUGGGGUCCAUCUGUGUGGCGGCGGUGUGCGCACUCACACAGCAGGCAGGAUGGCAGUACCACAGCUAACAGUUCGCCCGACCCAAUUUGUGAGCCCUCUUCGCUCCCAAGCCACCGAGCCUCCCGUCACUCCUUCCGCCCAUCCACCAACCUUGGCAUCCUCCACCUCGGCGGCGGGGCGCUUGCAGGCGGCGGCGGCGUCAGCGGUGUACGCGGCCACGGACACGCCCUGCAGGCCCAGCAGGGUCAGCAGUCGGACCUCGUUCGUGCGCGCGGCGUCGUAGGCUUGGAUGUUCAGGGUAGCUGCAGAUGCGCGGAGAGGCAGCAGCGCAGGAGCGGGACGGUGGUGCGUGGUCAGAUGUUGAGGGCGCGAAGGGUGCUCGGGUACCUAGGUAGGCUCCGCACUCGCCAUCAGCUUUGCUGCGACGUCCCAUCCCGCCCAUCCGUGCAUGGGACCAGCCCUUGCGUACUGUGGCACCACGCGCACCCGCCCGCGUGCGGGUAACACUUCCAAGCAUGUUACUCCUCCCAAGCUAUGCAGCUCUAACUCACACAGGCGGGCGGCGGCCAGCAUCUCAUUGACGGUGUUGAUCAUGGCGGUGUUGACAUAGCUCUUGCCGAGGAAGGUGGUGCCCAUGGCGGCGCCCAGGGAGGAGGCCCAGCCGGACAGGGUGCCGCAGUUGUUGGCGGCGCCGCCGGCCCACAGCGCCCAGGCCUCAUCCACGUUGUGGGGUGCGCCUGGGGCGGGCGGGGACAGUAAGGUGAACGCUUAUGUCAGUUGCACCACGGGGCGCAGGUGAAGUAGCAAAAUACAUAAAUCCCGCGCACUGCUGAGCACCCAUCCACGCACUGCUGAGCGCUUGACAGCGAGCACCGUGCUGCGAUGCCGCAAACAACGCACCCGAGGCGUCAGAAACCAGGUUGGUGAGGUUGCCGGUGCCGUCAGCCAGGUAGGUCUUGAUCUUGUUGUAGGCCUCAUCCACCUCGUGCAGGUGGUACUUGAGCGUGCCCACCUGGAUCAGACCGGCGGCCAGGGUGGCCUUGCCGUCGGCCAGGGCAGCCCUGCGGGGGAUUAGAAGGGUGAGCGAGCGGAGCGGGCAGGGGCGUGAUUGGGGGUUGAGCCAGAUCACGGACGGAGUCAAGGGUUCCGCCAGCAAGCUGCGCAGCUGGGUUUUGAGGCAGAUCUCGGACGGGGUCAGGGGACCCGCAAGCAAAUAGAGGAAAUCUCAUCGAUGCAGGCAGCGAUGUGACAGCGAGCAGGGUGCGUGUUCUCAAUGUACCUCCACUCAUUAUUUUCAUCAUUAUUUUCAGUGGAGCGAGGCUACCCGUCAGCCG
Molecule: long non-coding RNA, 6381 nt
Filed under: Chlamydomonas reinhardtii
Lineage: Eukaryota; Viridiplantae; Chlorophyta; Chlorophyceae; Chlamydomonadales; Chlamydomonadaceae
Description: long non-coding RNA (CREI_LNC001053)
Source: RNAcentral